AAUAACGUGGAAUUGUGGAAACAGUGUAGCUGACAGAAGACGAAACGGAUGAGGUUGUUGUCGAUCAAAGGGUGGCGUUGUAAAUACGUUAAGUCAUAACUUUACAUUGAUCUGUUGGACAGUAUACCUAAUUUAUUAUGGGAAAUAAUUACGCUAGUCGUUAGAAAUGAUUACUUAUUUAAAAUCCUGAAUUGACAGUGAUGUAGAUGUUUUCUAGCUAACGUUAGGUAAUCUACGAGUAGCCUUCUGGUCAGUUUAGUUAAAGUGGUAACUAGUUUACUAACAUCACUGGGUCAUGAGAUUCUGCUGGUUUACUGGAACAAGGAAGAAAACUGGGCCAGGAAGAGCUGGGCCAGCUAGCUUUCUGUUGUAUAUACUGUAGUGGCUGUUGGCGGCCAUGGGGGGGCAGCAUGGUGCCAACUCGCACGUGUUCUACGUCGUGGAGAUGGACAGAGCGAGCAGGGCAGCCGGAGUGUUGGUGAAACAUCACGGACUGCAGUUCAUCUCAUGGUAUUGUCAGAUGUAACAGCUCUGGGGUGGCCGCCAGGCUACACACUGAAACCCUGGAUGAUUGACAGCACUGAUUAGGAGGAACCUUUCCCUCUGAUCGCACAAAGGUGGCGCGGCAGACCGGCGGCGCUGUGGGUUUUUUUUAAGCCCCGCCCACAGGUCACCAGCUGAAGGGGACGGUCAGCGUGACCCGGACAGACGCAGGAACGGACGGGCGGAGGACCAGACAGACACAGCCCGCGUUCCUGCACCGCCGCAUCGCAUGCCGCAUCCACUCCGCAUCCACUCCGCAGUGCUCAUCAGCACAUAAUUGCACAGCCCGAUUAAUUAUCACUUCCCGGAGAAAACCGGGGUUUUUUAUUUUCAAUUUAAAAUAUAUGUGUGAAUUACAGUGACUUGCAGCUCUCCCCCGUUUCAUUUGUUUAAUAAUUAUAUGGCGAGCUUUCAAAAUCACAAGCUCCCUAUAAAAGGUGUCUUGCUGACUCUAAAUGCGGAGAAACAUUUUUGUGUGGUGAUGGAAGUGCCUCCCCUGGCACAGCGCUUUGUGUUUUUUUCCUUCUGAUGGCAGAGUUUCGUUUUUUGUUUUUAGUCUUAGGCCCGUGUAUUUUAUAAUAUCAAACAUUCUUAAAACAUUAAUUAUUUUUUAGCCUUUAAGGACCUUGCACCCGUGGAUGUCUCACACAUACAGAAUUACUGAGAAAAUUGGAUACAAAUAUAGCCUGCAUGUAAUACCUGACGUAAAUGAGUGUGUAAGCUUUGGUCUGUGCCUCACAAUGGCACAAUGGGCCUGGGGAUCAAAGCUGACGCUGUUUCAUAUGGAAAUGACAGUGAUUUUUAAAAGCCCACCUUCAGGUUUUGAAAACAAUUUCUGUGAAAUACGUUUCAUGCGCUAUUCAGAAGAUGUAUACACCUACUGUUGCAUUUCUGGCUAAGUCAAAGUCAUGCUUUUUUUUAAAGCAGGUAUUCAGACCCACCUUGUGCACCCGCUUAUCUCCCAUAUUGAGAAGCUCUUCCAUAUGGUGGAAAAUGUUAGUUUGCUCAGGCUAAGCACAUGCCCACGGGUGGACAAAAAACGCUGGUGAGGGAAUUACACUUAGACUGCACUCCUAGUAUCUCUGACUCCUCUAAGCACUGAUGAGACUUUAAUUAGGAACAACUGAAAUGAAAGCACUUCUGAAAUGAAGAGGUUUCUGUGAAAUUUCUGGGACCUUUAGUCCUUACUGUAAAGCUGACUGUAACCCUGACUACAGUGUAUAUUAACAAUACUCAAAUUGAUUGAUUUACAGCUCAUGAUUUGUUUUUAUUUGACCAAGUGUAUUCGGGGAAGGCCUGUCUGUUGAAAAAAUAGAUCAUUUAAAUAACGAAUAUAAUAAAUAUAUGACCAAUAAAUGCCACAAAUGCUGCUUUGAAAAGCAGGCUUCAACAUGUGUGUAGUUUAAAUACACAAAUGUCCACAUAAAUGCAACAUUUAUAGCUAUUUUGAUGUGACACAAUAGUUCAACAACUGGCUCAUAUCUAAAACAAUGUUAAGCAUGUUUUUUUGGUAAGCAUUAAGCAUUUAUGUGACAGAUAUAUAAACUUGAUUUAAUAUUGAAGGAAAAUACUUCUCUUUGAAAUACACGUCUUACAAUUACAUUUUUUUUUCUUUUCCGUUCUUUUAGGUUUACUGAAGCUUUGCUUAAUAGUUGCUUUCCUUGAAUUAUCCUGAGAUUCUAGAGCAGAAUGAUACAAUUCCAGUGGUUUCUAAAGGAUUUGCCCAUUAAUCCUCCAUCUGUUCUUUUUCUUUUUUCUUUUCAAAAAUGUGAUGAUUUAUUUCUGCCUGCUCAUUGAGAUUCACUCACUUUCUUCUGUUUUAUUUUCAUUAAAAAUCUGUUAAGAAAUGAGAUCACAAAACUAUACUGUCAGUAAGAGCUCUAAUCUCUGAGCCCCAUUAGGCUGGUGAACUGUAGCUUGCCAGCAUUUUCAAGUCUGGGGUUGCGUUGUGUUAACCACUUGGUGUUUAACAUCAGCAUUAUGCUUAAAUGUCAAAUAACGGAGUCUGUUAGGAACACACAGAAGGAUGUAGGGUAUGUAUGGAUUUUAUUUUAUUGAGAUCCUGACCCAUACUCAGAGUUUCAAAACCAUGUCUUUUCAUCUCAGUACCUGCAGAUUGUUUAUUGUUUGGAUGACCAAAAGAUGACGAAUGAACCGAGGUUGAAAUAUUUCUAAAAAGUUUCUCGUUUUACUGGACCGUUUACCGCAUAGUGUAACUUUACGUCAUGAAGACGUUUGCAGCGGACAAAGGAGGUCUAGUCUGUCACUUGAUUACCGUGUUAUCAAACCGGUUGUUUCAAGGGGCCUCGUUCUUCUGAUAAUAAAUGUUAUUAGAUUGUGUGACUUUGCUUAAUGGUUAUUUCUGCGCUCAAAGUGUGUCAGACGCUGAGCCACCUGUGUUUCGCGUUACGCUAAUGGGGCUUAAAUUAAAUUGGUCACAGAUUGAAAAGAGAACUUUAAAUGUAGCACAGCUGAAAUGAUUAAUAAUCGUGCACCCAGAGGCGUGUGUGAUC
Long non-coding RNA from Anguilla rostrata (American eel), 3056 nucleotides. RefSeq lists it as uncharacterized. The transcript is spliced from 3 exons. The record is from RefSeq and is a predicted model, not a curated record. NCBI's taxonomy places the organism in Eukaryota, Metazoa, Chordata, Actinopteri, Anguilliformes, Anguillidae.